This is a non-coding RNA of Zootoca vivipara (common lizard), 785 nucleotides long. The record is from RefSeq and is a predicted model, not a curated record. Lineage: Eukaryota; Metazoa; Chordata; Lepidosauria; Squamata; Lacertidae.
ACAACAAGCCUUGGGGAGGAAAGGGCAGCCGCAAAACCUUCCAGCCUGGGCUGACUCCGACGGGCUUUGGGUUUUUUGGCUAUGAAAAAUAGGAAAGAGUUUGAUUGCUGUGACAAUUCCCACCCCAAAGAGCCAAUUCCCUAUUGAUACUCACGUUGCAGCGCGCUGCCUUCUUUUCCUGAAGCUUGGUCACCUCGCAACAAUCAGGAGAAGAAAAUCUUGUAAAAAUCAACCCCCACGGCCGUCUGGAUCCUGUUUGUUUUCCCUGUGUGGUCCCGCUAAGGAUCCCAGUUAGGCCAGAACUCCAGGGACAGUCAGGGAAGGAGAUCCCCCCUGCAAAUGGCUGGGUGCGCUUGGGCCCUCCAACCACGGCUCCCCCAGAGUACGGCUAAACGAAGGCUCCUGCCUGGCUCGCCAUAAACUGUCGUGGAAAUUUGUCCCCAAAAUGCGCUUCCCUGUUAGAGGGACAGGCGCGGCUUGGAAGCUCCGGGAUUGCGCUUGGUUCGCCUCCGCCGGGAAAAUGACAGAGACCACGCGUUGCUGUCAGUGAAAACAAACAGAUCCCUUUAUUGAAAAAAAUGCAGAAAACUACAGCUGUAGGGUCCCUGCCUCUGGAAAAAAGGAAGGACCCCGGGAAAUGGUGGGCAAUCUUUCGAGAUGGGCGCAGGAGUGGAGCGAUUUCCUGACGAUUUCCAUGAGGUGAUUUUCAUCCGGCAGGUGUUUUCCUCGAGGCCGCGGGAAGAUGGACUAUGGCAUGUUUAAUUUGAAUAAAGUUGUCAAGCUAA